CGCCACAGAAUUACGAGUCCUGCGCGCUAUCCACCAGGCUACGAGGCCCCUACAUAAAGGGAUUUGUCAUAUGAUGAAUGCAAGUUGACGUGGACUAUGAAGAUGACUACAAAUAUCAGUGAGUUGAUUGAAUAGUUAUGUUGAUAACUGAUCAGCAGCGGGAGAGACCUGACACCUUACCUUGAUCCAUCCCAUUGAACUUCACCUGAAGCUUAGAAGAGCUACUGAGUAGGAGUGAGUGUAACUUGUCUGCAAGAUGAGCUCAAGGCGUCUUGCACCAUCCCCCACCUUUUCUUUUAUAUUUUGUUACCAUGGUUGUGGGACAGAUGCUCCUAGAUGAACAGAAGAUCCAAAAGGCCAAGACAACUCCAGAGAC
This is a non-coding RNA of Procambarus clarkii (red swamp crayfish), 376 nucleotides long. The record is from RefSeq and is a predicted model, not a curated record. Lineage: Eukaryota; Metazoa; Arthropoda; Malacostraca; Decapoda; Cambaridae.